This 306-nucleotide ribosomal RNA is filed under the name uncultured bacterium. RNAcentral's name for it is "partial 16S ribosomal RNA". It matches the Rfam family "Bacterial small subunit ribosomal RNA", at positions 507 to 807 of the family's 1533-position model. The record is from RNAcentral.
GACAGCAGCAGCCACGGGAAUACGGAGGGUGCAAGCGUUAAUCGGAAUUACUGGGCGUAAAGCGCACGCAGGCGGUCUGUCAAGUCAGAUGUGAAAUCCCCGGGCUUAACCUGGGAACUGCAUUUGAAACUGGCAGGCUAGAGUCUUGUAGAGGGGGGUAGAAUUCCAGGUGUAGCGGUGAAAUGCGUAGAGAUCUGGAGGAAUACCGGUGGCGAAGGCGGCCCCCUGGACAAAGACUGACGCUCAGGUGCGAAAGCGUGGGGAGCAAACAGGAUUAGAUACCCCUGUAGUCCCUGUCUCUUAUAC